AUGGGUUCUUCUAAGGCCGCAGAAAAACAAGAAGAAUCGUUUGCACCGGUGGACGCCGCCGUUAGCCCGCACGCUGACAUACCGGGGAUCAUGUCGUCGCUGCCCGUAGAGCUUGGUUUCCCGCCCUACGCAAUGCGGUGGUACCGCGGCUUCUGGCUGACGGAGCGGUGCCUCAAGGCCCUCGCCCCGUCCCACGCGCGCUUCAGGCCGCGUCCCACCGACGUGCUCAUCACCAGCUUCCCCAAGUCCGGCACCACCUGGCUCAAGGCCCUCGCCUUCUCCGUUCUCAACCGCGAGGCCUACCCGCCGAGGUCCGCAGGCGCCGACCACCCGCUCCACCGGGGCAGCCCCCACGACCUGGUCGGCUUCAUCGAGCACAGCCCCGACCUCCUCGUCACCGGAGAAGAGGAGCUGUACCAGCAUCUCGCUUCUCCCCGGCUACUCGCCAGCCACCUCCCCUACUCCCUCCUGCCCCGCGGUAUCACGGCGGAUGGCUCAGAAUGCAAGGUCGUGUACGUGUGCCGGGACCCCAAGGACACGCUGGUCUCCUUCUGGCACUUCCACGAGAAGACCCGAGCGGCGCUGCAGCAGGUGCCUGGCAUCGGCGGCGGCGCGUCGUUCCUCGCCACACCGACGUUCGAGGAGGCGUUCGAGCUCUUCUGCCAGGGUAAGACCGUGGCGGGUCCGCAGUGGAACCACGCGCUCGAGUACUGGGAGGCGAGCCGCCGGAGACCCGACCAAGUGCUGUUCCUCAGCUACGAGGACAUGCUGCGCGACACGCCGGGGAACUUGCGGAGGCUGGCGGCGUUCGUUGGGUGGGUGCGCCUUCUCGCCAGAGGAGGAGACGGCUGGGGUGGUGCGCGACAUCGUGGAGCUCUGCAGCUUGGGGACGCUCAAGGGGCUUGA
RNAcentral lists this ribosomal RNA (906 nucleotides) under Triticum aestivum (bread wheat). RNAcentral describes it as "partial small subunit ribosomal RNA". Lineage: Eukaryota; Viridiplantae; Streptophyta; Magnoliopsida; Poales; Poaceae. The record is from RNAcentral.